GAUCUGUGUUCCGCGGCCCGGCCGCGGCUGAGUCUUCCCAGGGUCAGGGUCGGGCGCUUUGCUGAGUCCCUUUGUGGCCGCCAUGGACAAUUCCGGGAAGGAAGCGGAGGCGAUGGCGCUGUUGGCCGAGGCGGAGCGCAAAGUGAAGAACUCGCAGUCCUUCUUCUCUGGCCUCUUUGGAGGCCAUUAACUGUUUGAUGCGAGCAAUCGAGAUCUACACAGACAUGGGCCGAUUCACGAUUGCGGCCAAGCACCACAUCUCCAUUGCUGAGAUCUAUGAGACGGAGUUGGUGGACAUCGAGAAGGCCAUUGCCCACUACGAGCAGUCCGCAGACUACUACAAAGGCGAGGAGUCCAACAGGUAGCCCCCUUCCUGCCUGCCCCAGCCCCGCAGGGACCGCCACCACUUCCCCUCACUACUCCUCCCCACACAGCUCAGCCAACAAGUGUCUGCUGAAGGUGGCUGGUUACGCCGCGCUGCUGGAGCAGUAUCAGAAGGCCAUUGACAUCUACGAACAGGUGGGGACAGGUGGGGAUGGCGGCUUCCACCCUGCCCCCUCUCAGGGCCUGUGCCUCCUCCUAAGCCCCGGCACCUUGUUCUGGAACCACCCCUCCCCCGGCUCACCCUCUGCCUCUCCCCCGACAUCCCUUGCCAUGUCAUCCCCCAACCCUGUCUUCAGCCUGGCUGAAUGUUCUCCACCUACGACUCCAUGCCGUGCCAGCACCGUCUCUCUCCCUGGCUGUGCCCCUCCCACACCCCUCGCAGAGCUUCCUGGAGGGGCCCAGAGUGAGGCUGGCUAAAGAAUCCAGAGGGAGGGAAUGGGAAGAAGUGCCAAGAGGCCCAGGGUGGCCGUGGGCACCCCACCCCAUGGCCCGAUGGUCCUCAUCCACAGU
This 894-nucleotide small RNA is filed under the name Pan troglodytes (chimpanzee). Its description in RNAcentral is "retained intron". The record is from RNAcentral. Lineage: Eukaryota; Metazoa; Chordata; Mammalia; Primates; Hominidae.